AGGCAGGAUUGGACAAAUAAAGGAAACAAUGAGCAGCAAAUACAAAAUGAGAACACUCGCAAGGAGCUGCUGCGGCACGCCCAGCUGCUUCCGCCCAGCCUGAUUUAUGCUCACCAGGCCACGCCCCCCCACGGGCACACAUACAACAACAGGAGAGUUGCUGGUGUGUUUUUCAGCUUUUCCCAAUGUGCGAUGAUUAAUGGCAAUUCCAUUCUCAACAGGGAAAAUUUGCUCUACGAAUAAGGAGUAAAACAAACUUGGUUUUGAUUCGGGAAAAAAACGGGUGUGUAUUAGAGAGGAUGGUAAAAUGUUUACUAGCAAAUGAGCGCUUUGAAGGGCAGAGGGAGUUAUUUCACCCUCGCCCACUUUGAACACGGUUCUUUCAACGUGAUAAGGCUGAUUACUGUUUCUGACCUCUGGUGCUCUUCCCAUGCUCGACUUAACUGGAAUUAAAACACUGACCAACAAACACUUUUGUAUGUUUCUCCCCAUGUCAAAUGUGAUCAAAAGGAGAUUCCAACCUGCAGUGGGCUCUAAAGCCGACAUUGAAACAAGAGAAUCUGCUUUCCAAGGAGAUUCUCAAGGUCAACAGUUCCAAAGCAUGACUCUAAUAAUGAGAUACAGGAACAGCAUUCUUCCCCAGUUUGCCCUCUCCCGUUUUCCACCAUUAUUUUUGCCUUUUGUACAGUAUGUGGGCGGCUUCUUUCUCCCUCUCCCUUUCUGUCUGCCCUUUCUCUCCAGGCACACAAAGCCCACGUUGUUUGCUGACACGUUGUGUUGUGAGGAACAAGUGGUGAGUCUCAUGAAAUGCCAACGACACCAUCAAAGAGUCAGGAAAUCAGCA
Molecule: long non-coding RNA, 844 nt
Organism: Hippocampus comes (tiger tail seahorse)
Lineage: Eukaryota; Metazoa; Chordata; Actinopteri; Syngnathiformes; Syngnathidae
Exons: 2
Source: RefSeq, a predicted model, not a curated record